GGUGGAGGUGGAGGUGGAGGUGGGGGAGGCAGCGUUUAUUGGGGAAGGAAGGGAGAUGAAUUCAAGGGAAUUGUCGUCAUUUUCGCCUGGAUUUCACUACCUGAGAAUGACCUGAAGAGCUACGUGGAUUUGUACUCCUCUCUUGGUUGGAAUUCGCUUGUUUCUCGUGCCGAUUUUCUCAGCGCGUAACACUCACACACUCUCUUUUUGUUUACUUAGAAAAUGAGGGAAAUGAUGGGGAAAAAUGAUUUCUUUUUUUUUUCUUUUUGGGUAUUUGGUGGAAAAGGGGUAUUGUUUUUAGGGGUUAUGUUAAAUAUCUUUCUUACUUUUCCUAGACACCAAAAUAAUGCCAUAACGAGAUCUAUAGUUUCUUUGUGAUGAUAGUUAGUCAGUGAUCAAUUAGAGUUUUGUUCUGUAUGCGCCCAUUUCAGCUAUCAUAAAGUUGUUGCUGUUGAAUUAUAGUGAAGUAAAUGAUGCUAGUUCUGCAACUUUUGAAAAUGCCUCCCGGUGGUUUCAUCUUUGAAAGUACCUGGUGCUACUACAUAUUUCGCAUUAUGCUUCUUGGUAUUAAGCAUGUGUACUGGGUCUCCAGAGGGAUGUUGCUAAAGUUUCUUGUUUGAUGUUCUUAUCUGUGGAAUGAUAAGACAUUACCGUCUGAGCACUCUAUUUUUAUUUAUUGUUUUUUUGUCAACCUUGCUGAGGGAGAGAUUGAAUAGGAUCUUAUUUUAUUUAGUUUUACGUUUUAUGAAUUGAAUCUAACCCAUAUGAUUGAAAUCGGAUGGGUUGAUAGGGCAGGCUGCCGAGCUAUGAAAAUCCUUUGGUUAUGAUACAAAGUUGUCAAGAAAUGGUCCAUGCGACAAAUUGGGGGACGGAAAUGUUGGAGGUUGAAUGAGUGGCAGCACUACUACUCUACUAGGGAUAACCAUAUGACAUUUUUGACAAAUGCAUUAUUGAAGAAUUUGGAUCUAGCUCUAAUUGAUACAAGAUGAAGAGGAUGCAUGCAUUACCCCAGUGAGAAGAGUGGUCUGGUUCACUUUGAAGCUGGUAAAAAGAUAGAGGUCAAAAGCCAAUUGGUUGAAUACAGAAUUAUGAUAAAGAGUUCUUUGAAUCAAGUAUCUAAAGGCUUUCUGAUGAGGCUAAUCCGUUAUUUUCUUUUUUUGUUGAUUUAUUUGAAGAUAUAUUUUGUUUAAAAUGAUCAAUUUAAGGAGGGUAAACUUAUGGUUUAACGUAAACUCUUUUGAAUAUAUUUAUUAGAUUGAAAUUGAAACCCAAAAAAAAAGAAGAGUGUAUUGAGAAAUAAAAUGGUGCUCAAGUUUUUAUCCUCUUCCUUUACUUUUGUUUGGGUUGGGGAAGUUAUUGGCACUUGAAAUUUUAGAUUAUUUUCCUAAGAAUUUUAGAUUUGUGCAUGUUAACUGUUGAAUGAUAAAACUUUGUGCAGAUUUUGUCCUCAAAAGGCCUUGUCGCUUGCAUAUAUUAUCCUCAAUGAGCUUGUUGAGGUCAGUUACAUGGAUUUUUGAAUAUCAGAUGUGUAAUUAGUUUUGAAUUUAUAUCUAUGUGUUUUAUGGAAUUCCAUUUGAUGCAGGGGCUUUGUAUUUGUGGGAGCCCAUAGUUGUGAAAUUAAGGCCUUUAAAAUCAUAAAUCUACUUGACAUGGUGUGGGAUCCCAUACAAAAUAAUUGCGAGCACAGUGAGAUGAAUUAGGCUGUUAUUAGCUUUCAAUAUUUUUGGAAGUACUGCAUAAGGUAAAUACCUAUUGGUUAUGGAUUUGCAGGAGCUAAGGAUUAGACCAUGUCCAAUUGCUUUUGCUGCUUUUUCUGGUGGUCCCCAAGCUUGCAUGUACAAGGUUUUCCAGGUAAAUUUGAUACAAUCUUUUAGAAAUCUAAUUCUUGUGGAAAAUAAACUGCAGCCAAGCGUCUUGUUUGUUUUUCCUAUAAUCCUGAUGGGUUGGAGAUCCUGUCCUCAUUCCUCAACCUCUCACCCUCCAUCCCCUCUCCUUGCUUUGCUGAUUUCCCCCUUCCAACUUUGCCAAUGAAAAUAAUUUUGCUGCACAAAAUGCAGAUCAUUCAAGGAACAUGUGAUGGUGAUGGUAAUCUGGUAGGCAUUUCUCCUCUUUAUUUUUCUUUUCCCUUGUUAUUAAAGGUCCAUCAAACUUGUUCACUUUUUAAUUUGUUUUCUUUUUUACUUCUUAUCUUGUGUAGGAUGAGAGUCGAUUGCUCAGAAAUUGUGUUUCUGGGCAUAUCUAUGACUCUAGCCCACUUGAUUUCACAAGUGAUUUGGGUGCCCAAUUUGCUUUGCCCCCUGCCAUUCAAAAGAUGCCGGGUCCUUCAAAACUUGUGUCUUGGUUUGCAAAAGGAGUUACUUCUGCCCUAGAUGGUUUAUAUCUUACCAGGUUUGAUUCCCAGCGUGCUGAGUAUUGGCAGACUUUGUAUUCUUCAGUUGAUUUUGGGGCUCCUUACCUAGUAUUAUUCUCAGAGACUGAUCACCUUGCACCUUACAGAAGUAUCUACAGAUUUGCUCAACGUCUACAAGAUCUUGGGGGAGAUGUUAAGCUUGUGAAGUGGAAUGUUUCACCUCACAUUGGUUUGUGCAGCCUUUUCUCUCCAAUACGAGUUGUGCAUGUGCAGCAAUGUUAAAUGAUAAAUACUCUUACUGCUUAUGUUCAGUGGCAAAUCCACAUAAUCAAGAAGGGUGCCAACCACAACCUUUAUUUGUCUAUUAAAAUUAUAUUGAGAGUUAAAGGGUUGAGAAAAUAAAUUCAAAAAUAUAAUAUAUUCUCCUAAAAAAUUCAAAUUGUUGUGCGGACUACAUUAGUGAAUUCAUUGAUUGAUUUUCUUUUUCAUGCUAUAUUUUUCUUAAACAAUUUUAAUUCCCAAAAUUAUUAUGCUCCAUUAUUUUGUUAGGAUGUUUUAAUUAUUUCUCUUUAUUGAAUAUCAAAUGACGCUCUUUUUUUUUAUUAUUUUUUUUCAUUAGUGUGUUAGUAUAGUUGUUUGCCUUUUUAGUUGGUAGACUCGUAGAUGUGCCUAUCAUUAUUAAUAUUCCCCAAUUUGAUUUUGCAUGACAAUUUUUUUGUCCACAAUUAGAAAAUUAUUUAGAUAGAUAAAUUGUGGCAAAUUGAAAAUUCAUUUAUGAAAAUUUUGAUUUUAGUAAUUUAUUCUUUAUAUGGAUAAAAUAUUGUAACUUAAUAAUUUUAUAUUUGAAAAUAUCCUUUCUAUUAUAGAAUGCUCUUGUAAUAAGCAGGGCAAAGCCAGAACUUCAAAUUGAAGGAAGAAUGGACAUGCGUGUGUGCGGGGUGGGUGGGUUUGGUUGCUCAAAUAGAUAUAGUAGUUAUUUUUUCCUACUACAAUAGAUGAGUGUUAGGUGAUAAUUCCUUCUUAAAUAUUGAUAUCCAGCUAAAGUUUAUGCUGAGGUGAAGACUGAAAGACUGGAUAACUUUUGUUGAGUGACAAUUAAUGAGAACUUAAAUCCAAACCAUAUGAUCUCUGUUUGGAACUUUGUUUAUGCUGUUGAUGUGUAUCUUGUGCUCAAUAUAU
Molecule: unclassified non-coding RNA, 3529 nt
Filed under: Hevea brasiliensis (rubber tree)
Lineage: Eukaryota; Viridiplantae; Streptophyta; Magnoliopsida; Malpighiales; Euphorbiaceae
Source: RNAcentral